GACGAACGCUGGCGGCGUGCUUAACACAUGCAAGUCGAACGGUGACCUCGGAGCUUGCUCCGGGCGAUCAGUGGCGAACGGGUGAGUAACACGUGACCAACCUGCCCCUAGCUCUGGGAUAACCCCGGGAAACCGGAGCUAAUACCGGAUACGAGACCGAGCGGCAUCACACGGUCUGGAAAGUUCUUCGGCUAGGGAUGGGGUCGCGGCCUAUCAGCUUGUUGGUGGGGUAACGGCCCACCAAGGCGACGACGGGUAGCCGGCCU
RNAcentral lists this ribosomal RNA (266 nucleotides) under uncultured bacterium. RNAcentral's name for it is "partial 16S ribosomal RNA". It matches the Rfam family "Bacterial small subunit ribosomal RNA", at positions 28 to 293 of the family's 1533-position model. The record is from RNAcentral.